GCUGGGCAUAGUGGUGUACACCUGUAAUCCUAGCAACUCAGGAGGCUGAGGCAAGAGUAUUGCCAAUUUGAGGCCAGUUUUAGUAACAGUAAGGUCCUAAACAACUUAGCAAGACCCUAUCUCAA
Molecule: small RNA, 125 nt
Filed under: Marmota monax (woodchuck)
Lineage: Eukaryota; Metazoa; Chordata; Mammalia; Rodentia; Sciuridae
Source: RNAcentral